Molecule: long non-coding RNA, 277 nt
Filed under: Homo sapiens (human)
Lineage: Eukaryota; Metazoa; Chordata; Mammalia; Primates; Hominidae
Description: HSALNT0269628
Source: RNAcentral
AGGACCCUUAAGCACCUUGCUGGCUUCCAGCCUGUCACUGAGACUCCAGCCAAUCUCUCCACAGCCUUCUGCCAAACUCACACCUUGGUCAGAAUUUAGGACUCAGGGACCCAGCUCUAUAAGGAAUUGUCAGAUGGAUGCCCAUGCUGAGGUCCCUAUGCACUGGCACUGCCUGGGACUGGGAUUUGGAGAUGUCAGCAGAGGAAAGCAAAGGUUCCUCUUCCAGCAAAGCAUCUCCUAGCAUCUCUGCACCUGUCUGAGGGCCUGGCUCUAAACC